This 408-nucleotide ribosomal RNA is filed under the name uncultured bacterium. RNAcentral describes it as "partial 16S ribosomal RNA". It matches the Rfam family "Bacterial small subunit ribosomal RNA", at positions 28 to 526 of the family's 1533-position model. The record is from RNAcentral.
GACGAACGCUGGCGGCGUGCUUAACACAUGCAAGUCGAACGGAGUGGCGAACGGGUGAGUAACACGUGGGUGAUCUGCCUUGCACUUCGGGAUAAGCUUGGGAAAAUGGGUCUAAUACCGGAUAGUGCAAGAUGAGCUCGCGGCCAAUCAGCUUGUUGGUGGGGUAAUGGCCUACCAAGGCGUCGACGGGUAGCCGGCCUGAGAGGGUGUACGGCCACAUUGGGACUGAGGUAGGGCCCAGACGCCUACGGGAGGCAGCAGUGGGAAAUAUUGCGCAAUGGGCGGAAGCCGGAUGCAGCGACGCUGGGGGGGGGAGGAAGGCCUUCGGGUUGUAAACUCCUUUCGACAGGGACGCGGUACCUGUAUAAGAAGCACCGGCUAACUACGUGCCAGCAGCCGCGGUAAUAC